RNAcentral lists this long non-coding RNA (3632 nucleotides) under Canis lupus familiaris (dog). Its description in RNAcentral is "lncRNA (ENSCAFG00030001444.1)". Lineage: Eukaryota; Metazoa; Chordata; Mammalia; Carnivora; Canidae. The record is from RNAcentral.
CCGCGUCUGCGGCCAGGGCUUGACCCCGGGCGCCCGCCCCCCCGCCCGUCCGCGCGCGCGGGGCCCGGUUUUGAGAGGGGCCGACGGGUCUGGCCCGGGCGGCCGGGGCCGGGGGUGCGGGGAGGUCCCGGGGCGCGCGAGCCCCCGCCCGGAGGUCCGGGCUGCAGAGCGGGCGGCGGGGCGGGCGCGCGGCGCGCACUAGGACCCAGCGGGGCUCCGGGCCCGGGUGGGAGCCGCGCCGCCGACCCCGGGCGGGCGCCGGGGCUGGAGCCGGGGUUCCGGCCGCGAUCGGCUGCAGCUCGGCCGGGAGACGGCGCGACCCGGCGGCGGGGCCCCCGGCCAGUGCAGCGCCGCCGCAGCCCCCCGAUGCGGCCGCGAGGAGCAGCGGGGGGGGGCCCCGGCGAUCGAAGGGACAAGCAGAGCGAAGCAUCCAAGGCCCAGGGAGCCAGCCCGGGUGAAGGCAACGAGAAGAGAUGCAGAUGGCAAGAGAUAGAGAACAACGGAUGCCUCUGGAAGGAGAAAGCCCCGAGAGCCGGCGUUGUGGAAGCAGCGGGCUCCCGUGGUCUGAUCCGAUGUCGCGCUGCACCGUGCCUUCCUCCAGAUGUCCUGGUCGCUCUGGCUUUGAGCAGAGUGCCCGUGCAGGCAGGACAGACACCCUGAUUGCCCUUCCCACCCCCCUGUAAACUCACCCACACCUGCUCCUCGGUUUUGCCCGGAUCUCUGUCGCCCGUGCUUCUGUGCAUCCGCAUCUCCGGCCUCCUCUACACGCCACGCCGUGCGCAGAGGCAGCAAGGCUGCGGGAUGGGGCUUCGGUGCCCGUGGAGACUCUGCAGUAACUGCCCCCGCCUCACUUUUGCUUGUUCCUUCUGUGUCUUCCUUCAUUGGUUUGUUCAGGUGAUCCUUUGACUCGGUGUGUGUUUAGUGAGCACGUACUGUGUGUGUUUAGUGAGCACGUACUGUCUGCUGCGUGCUGUGGGUGCUCAGGAUCUGGCGGUGGACGUGGCAAAGGAGGGCUACGCCAGGUACCACCAUGGUGUGUGUGUGCUGGCUGGGUGAACAUCUGGGACUGUCUCCGGAUCACCUGUCCACAGUUAAAUGCCCAGAUUCUUCAACUGGGACAUGUCCCCACUAAAAAAAAAAAAAAAAUAAAAAAAUAACCACAACAGAGAUUUUUAUUAAUACAGAUUCCAGGCCCAGGUUCCAGAGAUACUGAGAUCUUCACUACCUUAGUACGUACUUAGUUUGUUGGGUCAGACAGGUGUGAUGGACUGUCAGUCUUUUGACUUACGAAUCAGCCAUUCAGUUCAACAGAGAUUUCCUGAAGACCUACUGUGUGUCAAAGCGCUCUGCUUUUGUUCUGCAUCACCGCAAAUCCUUUCCCCCAUUUCUCAGCGAGGAUUAGAGAGGGCCGUAUGAGUAAUAAAAAUGAACGAACAUGGGAAAGGUAGUCUCUGUGGCAGGGACUCCUGUUAGUAGGGUUUCUGCCGAUGGGCUGGUUGAUCUCCAUGAUUUUUCCACCACGCCAGUAGGAAGUACAGUCUUCAGCUCUUCCUCCCUUUUCUCAAGUAAGUACUGUUACUUGUCCCCAUCUUCCAGAUGAGAACACUGAGGUUUCAAGGGGUUAAGUAACUUGCCCAAGGUCAUACAGUGAAGAGUGUAGAACCAGGGCUUGAACCUCAGCCUCUCACUCCAGAUUCCAUGCUUGCAACCCCUGUGCCUUGUUGGAUUGGCCCUCACAAGUAGGCUGUCAGGUGUCUGGAGGCGAGCUCAGAGUCACAUGUUGACUCGUAGGGCUGGGGCUGAACCAGAAUUGCCCACAGACACUGCUGGUUCUCUGCGACUGGUCUUCACGUUUUCCUAGCGCACACAUCUUUACCGGCACCUUGUCGGUGUCUGGAAGACAGCGGCCUAGCUGAAAACCUGCAUAGAGUUAGUUGCUUUGAAGGAGAAACCCUGUGGUUAAAGAAGAGGCCAUUGCUGGUGUCAGUUAUUAACUAGUAAUUCCAAAGGGGUGAGUUGAACUAAAUUGUGUGUAACUUCUCUGAUAAUUAUGGUUGUAACAGAUGCAUGGGCCGUAGUGAGUUGGGGCUGUGUUAAUAUUGGUGAUACAAUUAGUUCCCAUUUUCUGAGACCGACUGCGAACCAGACAUGCUGGAUAUCUGCCAUAUAUUAUUCCCAUCUUCCCCAAAGCCCUGGAAAGUGGUUGUUGCUCUUCUGCUUUACAGAAGAACCAAGGGCUCACGAAGGUUAAGUGACUUGCCCAGGACCAUACAGCUUAUCAGUCGCUAACCCAGCCUCGGCUGCUCCUAACACCGUGCCUUUCCAGUCCCCUAUUUGUUCGUUAACAUUUAUUUAUUUUUAUUUAUUUAUUUUUUUUACUGACCACCUACUAAGGUGCCAGCUGCUCUUCUUGGCGCUGGGGAUGCUAUGGGGAAUAUGGUAGAUGUGGUCUUUGUUUCUUGGGGCUUAUACCAGACAGUGGUGGCCUUCCAGAGCCUGGGACCCCUAUGUAAAAUAGGCAAGUGGGGAGAAUGGGAUCCAAGACAUAAUACGAAGGCCUUGAACUGACAAGGCCCAAAGCCUCUUCUGUAGUUAGGGUUUAUUUUUUCAUUUUUAUUUUUUAUUUUUUGUAGUUAGGGUUUAAUCAGGCAAGUAACUGUAGAGAUAUGAGUCCUCCAAGGAGGUUUAAUUACUUAUCAGUGUAGGUUAAAGGAAAGUACAAUUAGAAGAUUCAGAAUGGGCAUUUUGGGGUUGGCAAGCUUGCAGUUGUAAGCCCCGGGCUGACUUGAGAACAGCCUGCAGAGGGCGGGCCAUCUAGCUGCCAUCUUGGUAGUCUUGCUUUCCUGGGCCCUCCCACCCCCACCCCCCAGCACCUAGUCCUGGCCCCAGUCCUCCGGACAGGUGAGGAGGCUGAUGGCUACUCAUGCAGCUGGCACCCCUCCCUGUUACUCCACAGGCUGCAUGGAUGGUACUGGUGCGGAGCCAUCCUGGUUCUUGUGCUGCUCAAGGUCAGCAUCUCUGGCCCACCUGUUCAACGCUGAUGGCAUCUCCCUUCUCCCCAUUGUUGUGACAAACCGUCCUCACCUAUUUGCAAGCAUUCAGUUCUCCCGUUGAGAACCUUAAAAAUGUGCUGGUUUUUCCCACAACACUAGUACCCUUUUGCUCUCUUCCCUUGGCUGGCUCUACACGACCUCCAGAUGACUCCAGUCAGACUUUCCUCGAUUGUUCCUUUUCCCACGGUGUCCUGUUUUCGGGCCCUGGGUCUGUCUGGUAUUUCCACAAAUGCCCAUCAAGUACCCCUUGCAUGAAGGCUCUGGUCAGGGAGGGGUCAAGAUCUUUAUGUGAGAGAGAAUAUCGAGACAUGGUUCGCUGCAAGCCCUUCAUCUCAUGGAUGACAAAGCUGGAACACGGGGGAAAAAAUUGGUGCAAGUGGACACUCCCGACUCAUUGCCCGCACUCUGUCACCCUGGCUACUUCUCAAGCUCAAAGUAGCUGUAGUGGGAAGAUUUUGGAGGCGCUGGAAUUUUGAACUCUUUAUGCUGGAAUUGCAAAGAUAAAAUACAUAGCUCACAGCCACUAUCUUCUAGAACAUACAAGAACCAGUCCUUAGUCUCACUCCAGCAUGAGAUGAG